GGAUUAGAUACCCUGGUAGUCCACGCCGUAAACGAUGUCGACUAGCCGUUGGGGUCCUUGAGGCCUUAGUGGCGCAGCUAACGCGGUAAGUCGACCGCCUGGGGAGUACGGCCGCAAGGUUAAAACUCAAAUGAAUUGACGGGGGCCCGCACAAGCGGUGGAGCAUGUGGUUUAAUUCGAAGCAACGCGAAGAACCUUACCAGGUCUUGACAUCCUGAGAAUUGACUAGAAAUAGUUGAGUGCCUUCGGGAACUCAGUGACAGGUGCUGCAUGGCUGUCGUCAGCUCGUGCCG
This 293-nucleotide ribosomal RNA is filed under the name uncultured bacterium. Its description in RNAcentral is "partial 16S ribosomal RNA". It matches the Rfam family "Bacterial small subunit ribosomal RNA", at positions 775 to 1067 of the family's 1533-position model. The record is from RNAcentral.